GCUGGGCUUGGUGAUGCGAGCCUGUAGUCCCAGCUACUCGGGAGGCUGAGGCAGGAGAAUUGCCUGAACCUAGGAGUUUGAGGCUGAGGUGAGCUAUGAUGGCACCACUGCACUCCAUCCUGGGUGACAAAGCAAGAUCCUGUCUCUA
Molecule: unclassified non-coding RNA, 148 nt
Organism: Pongo abelii (Sumatran orangutan)
Lineage: Eukaryota; Metazoa; Chordata; Mammalia; Primates; Hominidae
Rfam family: Metazoan signal recognition particle RNA
About the family: The signal recognition particle (SRP) is a universally conserved ribonucleoprotein. It is involved in the co-translational targeting of proteins to membranes.
Source: Ensembl